AAACAGAGCUUGGCUCUGGUGGUUAGGUCCCUUGUGGUGGAACCAGCCCACCCAGGUUCAAGUCCUAGACUUGACAUGGGUGUUUGCAUUUACCUGGAUUUAUUCCAGGAUUUAACCGGCGCUAUGCUUUCAGUGGUAGGUGACGUGCCCGUCAACAGCGAGGCGCCAGUGGUGACUUCGUCAACCUCAAGAUAUGCCGGCUCAGUCCCUCGGAGGUGCUCAUAGGGGUAGGGUGUGCGUGCGUGCGUUCAUAGGGGUGUUUGU
Lolium perenne is the source of this 264-nucleotide non-coding RNA. The record is from RefSeq and is a predicted model, not a curated record. Lineage: Eukaryota; Viridiplantae; Streptophyta; Magnoliopsida; Poales; Poaceae.